UCCAGGGUAGCCUAGCGGACAUGGCAUCUGCCCGGUAAGCGGAACGUUGUGGGUUCGAUUCCCGCCCCUGGAC
RNAcentral lists this transfer RNA (73 nucleotides) under Cordylochernes scorpioides. RNAcentral describes it as "tRNA-Thr". It matches the Rfam family "tRNA". From Rfam's summary of the family: Transfer RNA (tRNA) molecules are approximately 80 nucleotides in length. Lineage: Eukaryota; Metazoa; Arthropoda; Arachnida; Pseudoscorpiones; Chernetidae. The record is from RNAcentral.